RNAcentral lists this ribosomal RNA (491 nucleotides) under uncultured bacterium. Its description in RNAcentral is "partial 16S ribosomal RNA". It matches the Rfam family "Bacterial small subunit ribosomal RNA", at positions 29 to 506 of the family's 1533-position model. The record is from RNAcentral.
AGUGAACGCUGGCGGUAGGCCUAACACAUGCAAGUCGAACGGCAGCACAGUAAGAGCUUGCUCUUACGGGUGGCGAGUGGCGGACGGGUGAGGAAUACAUCGGAAUCUACUUUUUCGUGGGGGAUAACGUAGGGAAACUUACGCUAAUACCGCAUACGACCUACGGGUGAAAGCAGGGGAUCUUCGGACCUUGCGCGAUUGAAUGAGCCGAUGUCGGAUUAGCUAGUUGGCGGGGUAAAGGCCCACCAAGGCGACGAUCCGUAGCUGGUCUGAGAGGAUGAUCAGCCACGCUGGAACUGAGACACGGUCCAGACUCCUACGGGAGGCAGCAGUGGGGAAUAUUGGACAAUGGGCGCAAGCCUGAUCCAGCCAUACCGCGUGGGUGAAGAAGGCCUGCGGGUUGUAAAGCCCUUUUGUUGGGAAAGAAAAGCAGCAGGUUAAUACCCCGCUGUUCUGACGGUACCCAAAGAAUAAGCACCGGCUAACUUCGU